Long non-coding RNA from Hibiscus syriacus, 140 nucleotides. RefSeq lists it as uncharacterized. NCBI's taxonomy places the organism in Eukaryota, Viridiplantae, Streptophyta, Magnoliopsida, Malvales, Malvaceae. The transcript has 2 exons. The record is from RefSeq and is a predicted model, not a curated record.
AAUCCAGAGAGCAGAAGCCUGUAGCUGACAAGCUUCAGAGAAAUGCUGGGAACAAAGAGAUAGAGGAUCUUGAAGCCGGGCUACUUGAGCCAACAUUAUACCCUAGUACGGAAGCGGAACCUUCGUCUCAAAGCAGAACC